UAAACCGCGGCUCGGGCGGAUGACGCGACGAAAAAUACUAUUUUAAUCAAAUUCGGGCGGGUGGCGGUUUAACGACGCAUGGACCCACAGAACUCCUCACGUACACCGUGUCUUCUCACAUACACCGUGUGCACCGCGCCUUUUUUUUAAUCGAGACUCGUUUUCGUUGUUUGCUAUAUGAUUGUUCUAAAAUCUAAAAUCGUGGGUGCAAAUGGAGAGUUUGGAGUUCAAGUUUUUAGAUUAUCACCACAAAAUUGCAUAAAAGCUUUGGUUGGAAUUAAACACUAAAACAUAUUUUCUGUUUUACAGGUGACUACCCAACAUGCUGUGGAGCUGUAAAUACUAUUUGUCUGGAAUUCAAAAGGAUUGUGGGAAAAGACCUGCACCAGGAAUUUUAUUCUGCCCUUGAUAACCACACUACCCAUUUUAUUGAAAGUUUUAAAGCUAAGAGGGGCAACGUGGGUGACAGUUGGCACAGCUUUUGCAGCAAAUACAGUCACUGGAUUCUACUGAAAAAAGGACAGUCACACUAAGAGGUCUUCCUUACUUACUCGGAGACAGUCCCACCGAAUUCUUCAAAUCUAGCUUUGAUGGUGAUGAAUCCUUUCGCCAAAUGGACAUUGGGAUCUUGUUAGUAAAUCUGAAGGUGUCUCUCUUCCAACACCAGAUCUUCACCCAGCAAGCCUGAAAAUCAUCAUUGAGGGUGAAAUUGUUAUGGACAAGCUGACAACCCUUA
Boleophthalmus pectinirostris (great blue-spotted mudskipper) is the source of this 736-nucleotide long non-coding RNA. RefSeq lists it as uncharacterized. Lineage: Eukaryota; Metazoa; Chordata; Actinopteri; Gobiiformes; Gobiidae. The transcript is spliced from 4 exons. The record is from RefSeq and is a predicted model, not a curated record.